CAGAGAGACGCCCUUGUUGCAACUUUUCAGGUAGGGGCCAUGGCGUCACACAGCUAGCUAGAGACGAGAGAGAGAGAGAGAGACAGAGCAUCUCAGCCUCAUCCAUCAUGGGGAAACAUAAGCUUUCCUUUAUGUCUGCACAGCGCAGGGGCAGAUUCUAUCUCUCUCGGCCUUGGGCUUGCACAUGCAUGAUCUCUCAUCUCUCCAAGCUAAGCCUCCAAGUCCAACCAACCAAUGCAAAGAAAGCUGAAGGCUUUUGCGAGCUCUCGUGCCAACUACGGCCGGCCUUGGUGUCUUGUGCUUCACAUCACAUGUGUGACUGCCUGACAGGGCUUGUGUGUUUCUGGUAGAUCUUAUCUGAAAGGUGACGACCUCACAUCACAAGACACGAGAGCUAGCAGUGCCUGCCUGCUUCACAUUGACAACAUCCCGUUCGUUCGUCACUUGCUUCUUGCUUUGCGUAGCCCCCAGUUCUUCUCUUUCCUGCUUUCGUGAUAUCAAUCAGAGAAGCAAGUGUCUCUUUUACAUGCCUAACUAACUACUCAUGUGAUGUGAUGUUUGUGAGCAGUGGCCAAUAGUACAAAGCGGCUGCGAGGUACCAAUGCAAAGGAGGUAGCACUAUCAGCCGAUGAACAAAGCCCAAACCCAGCGAGCCCCACGCCGUCUCCGUGCAUGGGCCACCAGGCACCAGCCACAAGCCCACCGGGUGGCCCAUGGAAAUGCAUGGAUACAUGUCAGACUUAGUGUGACAGCAUGAAGAGAAGGUUGGCACGAGUUCCACGUGCAAGUAUUGUAGGAAAACGAAGAGCAGAGGCGAUGGUACCAGCAGGUAGGUAUGGGUAUGGACAAACACCCCCUUCACCCCUAUACUCAAAUUUGUCAAAUAUGUAUCCAACAGGAAUCGAGGCCACAUAUAUUCAACCAAGUUUGGUGUUACCAUGUUGGGUCCAUAUGCUUCUACAGACGACCAAGACUAUGUAUACAGAAUGUGUACACACCAGGAUCCUUUCAACAUGCUUAACUAUGAUGACUCAAACUGGAUAUGUGAGUAUUGUAAUGUGGACCUAUAUGCUGCGGAAGAACUCUAAAUGAACUUGUAUUUGAGUAUUGUGAAGACCGAUUGUUGUUUGUUACAUAAGAGUUGGAGUUUG
This 1151-nucleotide unclassified non-coding RNA is filed under the name Zea mays. Its description in RNAcentral is "misc RNA Zm00001eb162100". Lineage: Eukaryota; Viridiplantae; Streptophyta; Magnoliopsida; Poales; Poaceae. The record is from RNAcentral.